Molecule: small RNA, 966 nt
Filed under: Pongo abelii (Sumatran orangutan)
Lineage: Eukaryota; Metazoa; Chordata; Mammalia; Primates; Hominidae
Description: retained intron
Source: RNAcentral
UGGCAAUACACUGCUCAGCGCCGCAGCCGCAGCCCUGUGUGCUGGGGAGCCAGGUCCUGAGGGCCUCCUCAUCGUCAACACGCUGCCCUGGAAGCGGACCGAAGUGAUGGCCCUGCCCAAACCAGGCGGGGCCCACAGCCUAGGUAUGAGCUGAGGGGAAGGGUUGCUACUGCAGCAGGAAGGAUGGAGGCCAGACAGAUCAGGCCUGGGAUACCCCUAGGGAUCUGGGUGCCCUUGAAUGGAGAGUAGUAGCACAUCUUCCACCACCCCAUCCCCACCUGCGCAAGCUUCCUGAAAGGUCAGGAAGGCUGCACUGAUGCCCAGGCCUCACCCCCAGCCCUGGUGACAGUGCCCAGCAUGGGCUAUGCUCCUGUUCCUCCCCCGACCUCGCUGCAGCCCCUGCUGCCCCAGCAGCCUGUGUUCGUAGUGCAAGAGGUGAGUCCUGCAUGUCCUGGGGGGCAGGAGCUGUGCUGGGAUACUUUCUAACAACUGAGGGUCCUGAGCACCCCUGCCUGGAGCAAGUGGUGAGGCGGGGCUGGGGUUGGGGUGGGAAGACUUUUGGUGUGGGAAGCCCCUACAGACUCAGCCUCAAGGCCUCCUCCCACAAAGACUGACGGCUCCGUGACUCUGGACAAUGGCAUCAUCCGAGUGAAGCUGGACCCAACUGGCCGCCUGACGUCCUUGGUCCUGGUGGCCUCUGGCAGGGAGGCCAUUGCCGAGGGUGCCGUGGGGAACCAGUUUGUGCUAUUUGAUGAUGUCCCCUUGUACUGGGAUGCAUGGGACGUCAUGGACUACCACCUGGAGACACGGAAGCCUGUGCUGGGCCAGGCAGGGACCCUGGCAGUGGGCACCGAGGGCGGCCUGCGGGGCAGCGCCUGGUUCUUGCUACAGAUCAGCCCCAACAGUCGGCUUAGCCAGGAGGUUGUGCUGGACGUUGGCUGCCCCUAUGUCCGCUUCCACACCGAG